AGUGAACGCUGGCGGUAGGCCUAACACAUGCAAGUCGAACGGCAGCACAGUAAGAGCUUGCUCUUACGGGUGGCGAGUGGCGGACGGGUGAGGAAUACAUCGGAAUCUACUUUUUCGUGGGGGAUAACGUAGGGAAACUUACGCUAAUACCGCAUACGACCUACGGGUGAAAGCAGGGGAUCUUCGGACCUUGCGCGAUUGAAUGAGCCGAUGUCGGAUUAGCUAGUUGGCGGGGUAAAGGCCCACCAAGGCGACGAUCCGUAGCUGGUCUGAGAGGAUGUCGACCCACCGUGAAAGUGACCACCGGCCCAGAGUCUUAGGGGAGGCAGAAGUGGGGAAUUUUGGCAACUGGGGGAAAGCUUGACCAAGCAAUCCCGGGUGGGUGAAGAAGCCCUCCGGGUUGUAAGGCCCUUUUGUGGGGAAAAAAAGCAAGCGGUUUAAACCCCGCGUGUUUUAAGGUAACCAAAAAAAAAGCACCGGCUAACUUCGUG
This 491-nucleotide ribosomal RNA is filed under the name uncultured bacterium. RNAcentral describes it as "partial 16S ribosomal RNA". It matches the Rfam family "Bacterial small subunit ribosomal RNA", at positions 29 to 507 of the family's 1533-position model. The record is from RNAcentral.